This 676-nucleotide long non-coding RNA is filed under the name Lupinus angustifolius (narrow-leaved blue lupine). Its description in RNAcentral is "long non-coding RNA (LANG_LNC001952)". The record is from RNAcentral. Lineage: Eukaryota; Viridiplantae; Streptophyta; Magnoliopsida; Fabales; Fabaceae.
UUUGUGUUGUUUACUAAUCAAAGAGGCAUGCUCAUUUCAUUUCUUGCAUAGUAAUAAAAGGUUAGUGCAUAUCUUCUUCUCAAAAGUUUCUACCAUCUUCUUGCUUUCAAUUCUGUAACAAGGAACAACACUCAAGAAGUAAAUAAGGGUGAGAAAAAAUUUCAUUCAAUUAUGUUUAUUAAACAGGUAAUGUUGGUAUAUGAACAUUAUCAAGCAAUAUGCAGGUUCCCCUCUGAGAUCUUUCAGAGUUCUUGAGAUUCUUGGUCACUUCAUAUUUUUUUCUUCAUAUUCUUCAUCAACUACCCCCCAAUUAUUUCUUGUCUAUAAUACUCUAUUUUCUUUACCCCUCUCAUUAAAUACACAACAUUGUUAAAUUGUAUACUUUUUCUUCUUUGAAGCAACAUAUUGGGAUCAAGAUUAAGAUCCCUUUUAUUUUCUCUCUUUCAUCCAUUAUGGUUGGUUUGGUUGGUUAAGCUUAUGUCAAAAUAGAUGGUUAAGCUUUGAAAGAAGUUGCUUCUGUCUAUGGUGAUUAAACGUCAGUGUUGCUUCACAUUCAGAUUUCAAGACUGGGUGAUGAAGAUUCACUCACCAGCAAGAGGAGAUAUUAUAGUAUAUCAUUGUGUUCAACACAAUUAUUUCAAGCUUGGAAUGCUUAAUACAAUCCAGCUUGCAGAGG